This is a long non-coding RNA of Salvia miltiorrhiza (redroot sage), 2782 nucleotides long. RefSeq lists it as uncharacterized. Lineage: Eukaryota; Viridiplantae; Streptophyta; Magnoliopsida; Lamiales; Lamiaceae. The record is from RefSeq and is a predicted model, not a curated record. The transcript has 6 exons.
UGUCGUGUUGUAUAUGUUUCUACCUAGAAUGCAAUGAGUUGUAUGUACUCUAUCUAUAGAAUACAUAUUUGAGAGCCCACAAUGAUUCUCUAUCCUGCGCUCUCUCAAUCCUGUAUUUUCUUCUCUUUGAAUUCUACAUUGUAUGCCUUUAGAUUCAGCAGUUAUCUUCUCUCUUGCCACAACAUCGCAUAAUUCCUUAUAUUUUCUUCUCUCUUUUCCAUCAAUCAAUUUGCCCCGUUAAUUGCUCUUCCAAAAUAUGCCUUGAUUUCAGAAUUUUCUUCACUCUUUCCCACCCAUCAAUUGCCGCCCAUUAAUUGCUCUUCUAAACAUAUGUUUAAUUUCUCUUUCAAUCAUAUACGAAUCAAUCGAAUGUCAAUUAUCCAUGAUUUUGAGGUUGUGAGAUUUGUUUUCUCACUAGCCCGACGCAAUCGCCAUACAUUCGUCAACCACCCACUUUGAGGUUUCGGAUUUCAUCGUUGUCUCAACAUUCGAUUCUCCUUCACCUUCAUCUUCGGGUUUAUCAAUAUUCAAUUUUUGAGGUAUGUUCUUUAUGAUAUACUCACAUUCCAUUUAUUACCUGAUAAUUUUUUGAUGAAUUGUUGAUUGUAUUUUAUUGCGUGAGAUUUUCGGUGACAGAAGUUUUACUUUGUUUUAGUUUUUUAUUCAAAUAUACCAAUGCAUACCAACUAUUCGAUAAAAUGCCUAAGUAAUAUUGUGUAUUACUUUUUCUUCGAAUUUCAAGUGUCAAUAUGUGAAAUGUGGAGUUUAGUUAAUCUAUGACACUGUCCUAUUGAAUCGUGAAAGAGAACAAGAUUUCCAAGAAGAACAAGAUAUUAUUGAUCAUGAUAUUCUGGCUUCAUAACCCAAUAUGAUCCAGUGGGGUUUUUCUCCAAUGAAGCUCUCUCCUUGAGAAGAUUCUUGAACAAAGGCAAAUCUUUUGAAGAUGUCAUGUCUUUGAAGUGAUCCACUAUGCUGGCUGAAGUUGAGCUCCCACCUUUUUACUGAAUGAAAGAACGGAUUUGACGAAUCAGAAGUUGUGGAAGUACUCCAGAAUUUCUUGCUGAUCUAGAAUGCCCAUUAGCUGCUGACCGUUCUCUUCCAUUGCAGGGUGUACCGAUGGCUAGCUGAUGUGAUAAGUUAUCUGCAAUUCAUGUUAUAUAAAUGUUGGGUUAAUUUUAGUUUAUUUCCAGAUUUGGUUUAUAAAAUCAUCAUGAUUUAAUAACAACUUUGUUCAUGACCUUUACAUAUUGUGUUAAAUUUAUCAUCAAAUAUAACUUUCACUAGAAAGGUGAUAUCCUCGCAUCACACUUAUGUGUUAUUUUUAUCAAAACAUUAAGAAAUUAUGAGUUAUAUUUUGACAUUGGGUUGUCUUUGAUUUUCAGAUUUUGUUCCCAUAUGAAGAAUUCAUGGAAUUUCUCAAUUGGGAGAAGCCAGGCUAUCCUCCUUGUGGACUUAUAAAUGGUGGAAAUAACUGCUUCGCUAAUGUGGUUCCCCAGUGUCUUAUAUACACUUGUCAACAUGCUGGCUACAUCUUGGAGAAAGGCCACAAGAUAGAAUGUCAGAUGGAUAAAUGGUGUUUCCUGAGUGAUUUUCAAACUCAUGUAGAAAGGGCUAGCAAGAGUCAUACUGCAUUCAUUCCUAUUAGCAUUCACGAUUGAAUAAUACUGAUAGUAAUGUUGAGUGUGGGCAGCAGGAGGAUCCCAUGAGUUCAUGUGGUCAUUAUCAAACUAUUUAUUUAUUUAAUUAUAUUAUUAGCUUUUAUUGGACAUAUUCUUUUCACCUGUUAUACAAAUUUGGGGACAUAUUUGUAAUGUGAUUUUAGCUCUUUGGUAAGCAAUUACUAAUUCAAGUGGAUUUUGUAUUGCCAGAUUCGCAAUUGAUAAAAUGCUAUCUUAUCAUUGAUGAAUUUGGUGGAGAAAAGACUGCACAUCCUAGGUAUGAAGAGACGAGCUUGGUCCAACAUAUAUUUGGAGGUUGCCUCCAGUCUGAGGUUAUAUGCAGUAAAUGCAAUAAUGUAUCAAAUCGAUUUGAUCACAUGAUGGAUUUAACAGUUAACUCCAUGGGAUAAUGAGUCUUUGGAGGAGUGUUUGGAUCAAUUCACUGUCGAAGAUGUAGAUGUAUUCCAUAAAUCAGUCUCUAGAUACCAAGCUCAGGGAGAAAGCAAAGAGUCUGUUUUUAUCGCGAGUAAUCAGCUCGCUGAAGAUCUUCACCGACCGUGCAAUCUUGCAGACUUUUGUGGAAGCUCAGAACAGCGUGACAGACGCGUCCUUGAAGAAUGUAUUGAGCCUCGUGAGGUCGAUGUACGUUAUGGUGACGUUGGGUGAAGAUCAUGUGUUUAUCUGAUAUGGCUACUUAGCAACGGAUAAUGUUGCGACAUUGAGGAAAGAAGUUGCAAACCUUUGCAAUGAGAUCCGGCCGCACGCGCUUGCCUUGGUCACUUCUUUCAACAUCCCUGAUGUUUUUCUAAGUUCGACUAGGUUGCAACGAAUUCUUGGUCGGUGUCUUAAGACUAAGUUAGACCUGCGAUUCACUUCCUCUGCCAAGCUUGUAUUUUCUUAACUCUCGGAAUCAAAGGACUCACAAGGAAAGAUUAUCUAUCCUACAUAUGUAAUAGGAUAAUGACUUAUCCUAUAUGACAUUCUCAUAUCUCACCAUUUCAAAAUUCCUCAACUCCCUUCAUUUGCAUUUAUUCUUAUUAUAUACACUAGUGUACCACCCGCGCUAUGCGCGAUGAUUGUGAUUUUAAACUCACGUAAAUUGUGUAUAUACUUUAUAAUAAUUA